This 460-nucleotide ribosomal RNA is filed under the name uncultured bacterium. Its description in RNAcentral is "partial 16S ribosomal RNA". It matches the Rfam family "Bacterial small subunit ribosomal RNA", at positions 338 to 795 of the family's 1533-position model. The record is from RNAcentral.
CCUACGGGUGGCAGCAGUGAGGAAUAUUGGUCAAUGGGCGCGAGCCUGAACCAGCCAAGUAGCGUGAAGGAUGACUGCCCUACGGGUUGUAAACUUCUUUUAUAAAGGAAUAAAGUGAGGCAAGUGUGCCUUUUUGUAUGUACUUUAUGAAUAAGGAUCGGCUAACUCCGUGCCAGCAGCCGCGGUAAUACGGAGGAUCCGAGCGUUAUCCGGAUUUAUUGGGUUUAAAGGGAGCGUAGAUGGGUUGUUAAGUCAGGUGUGAAAGUUUGCGGCUCAACCGUAAAAUUGCAAUUGAUACUGGCAGUCUUGAGUACAGUUGAGGGAGGCGGAAUUCGUGGUGUAGCAGUGAAAUGCUUAGAUAUCACGAAGAACUCCGAUGGCGAAGGCAGCUUACUAAACUGCCACUGACAUUGAUGCUCGAAAGUGUGGGUAUCAAACGGGAUUAGAUACCCUAGUAGUC